This is an RNA transcript of Prosopis cineraria, 2496 nucleotides long. RefSeq lists it as uncharacterized. The transcript is spliced from 7 exons. The record is from RefSeq and is a predicted model, not a curated record. NCBI's taxonomy places the organism in Eukaryota, Viridiplantae, Streptophyta, Magnoliopsida, Fabales, Fabaceae.
UUGCUUUCACAGCACUCAUUCCCUUGCUCCCCUCUCUCUCUCUCUCACCCCCACAUGAUGAUUGAGUCAUUGACAGACUAGGUUUGGGCCUUUGGCUUUUCAAAUAUGUUACGUUUUCGUUUGGGUUUCAUUUCCAUCACGUCCUUCAUUUUGUUUCUUCUUUCGUCGUCUUCACUCCUGAAUCCACCGGAACCGGAUAAAUACUUUUGGUUUCCAAGGUCGUAGCAGGUUCUCCAGUUUUCAUUUCGAUCAUCUUUUUCAGUUUCGUCUCCAAGCUUUUCAAUCGACAAGAAUUGGCAUUUGUAAGAAAGGAACAAAGAGCCCACAAAGUGAAAGGGUCAUCACCGAUUCCGCAGAUGGAAUUACAAAGGCCAGACAGCAGAGAAGAUGGAAUAACUUGGCUUGUACCUGAGAUGAAAGAGGAUCGAACAGAACACGAACUGGAGAUAAGAUAUUCUAGAACCAUUACUGAAAAUGAAAAUCAAAAGGGUUUCGUUCGAGGGUAUGUUUUCUUCUCAUGGCCCAGUGAAUCUAAUACUGAAAUAUAUUGUGAUUCCAACUGGAAAUAUGUCUUCUCAUCAUCAAGUGAACCAUCUGGAGUAACAAUUGUGUUCGAGCAAAGCCAUGGAGUCUAAGGAAGAGGGAGAGCAUUCAAGUUAAAGUCAAACAAUAAUAGAGAAAGUGAAUAUAUUGAUGAGGAAGAUAUGCCUCUAGCUCCAAGAGAAGUAACAGGGGACAUUCAAAUGCGAGUGGUGAGAUUCUCAAGAGGGAUGGAAAUUUCAUCAUCAGGUUUGAAGCACAAGUUAACAGAGUAUGAACAUAGACCCAACAAAGACUUGAACAUGAUUACAGCAGCAUAUGUUUCCAUGGAUUCCAAUGUUGCCACUUCAAACAAAGAUUUCAUUGUAACUGAUAAUGCAAUUUAUAAGCAACAUACUCCUUUAGGGAAUACAGUCCUACAUUUAGCAGCUGCUUAUGGAAAUAACGCAAUGGUAGAGAAGGUAGCUCAACAAGCUCCCUAUCUUUUCACAGUCACCAACAACAACUAUAAUACUGCAUUACAUGUUGCUGCAAGAGCAGGCCAUGGCUCUACCAUUCAAUUCCUCUUGAAUUCUUGGUUGCCUUUUGUGAGACGUGAAACAGAUGGUCAUCAGCAAGAUCAAUCUACUUUGCAAAUGAUGCUCUUAAUGUCUCUCACUUUUACGAAAUAAACAAGGAAACACAUUUGUUCAUGAGGCAUUUAUGGUCAAUGCCCAUAAUGGGGCUAAUAUUUUCCACGCCUUUGAAGCCCCUUUCAUUAAGGAUGGUUCAGAGCUUGAGGCUGAUUUCAAGGGAAUUGUUAAUCAACUAGCAGCAUUUAUAGUCAACAACGAAGGGAAAUCAUUAUUGUACGUGGCCAUUGAGGUUGGUUGUAAGGAAGUUGUUGAUCAACUAUUGGAUCUCUGCAUCCAAUAUGACUUAAAGCCUUAAGGAAAAUCUCCCUUUGUUCCAGCACUCAUCAAGAGAAAUAUGGAUAUGUUGCAUGCCAUUUUGAGUAAGAAACCAAAUUGGAUACACUUGAGAAAUGAAGAAGGGAAGCUUCCUCUUCAUCAGGCAGCCUUUAUGGGGUACUAUAAAGGUGUUUCCUACUUGGUAAAGAAAUGUUCUUCAUGCAUCAUGGAAAGGGACAAUAAUGGCUUCUUUCCUAUUCAUUUGGCAUGUAGUAAAGGUCACUUAAAAGUAGUUAAAGAGCUACUAAAAUACUACCCAGAUCCCACAGAGAUGCUAGACAAAAAUGGCCAAAAUUUGCUCCAUAUUACUGCUAAAAGUGGAAAUAUGAGGUAGUUAGGUACAUCCUCCAACAUCCUAAGCUUGAGGUUAUGAUAAACCAGAAGGAUAAUAAUGGGAAUACUCCUUUACAUUUGGCCACCCUUCACUGGCACCCUAAAAUUGUGCAUUGGUUGACUUGGGACAAUAGAGUCAAUCUUGCUAUACUUAACCAAGAAAACCAAACAGCUCAAGAUAUUGCUGACUUAAGGCAUGACAAAAAUCCAUCCCUUACACAGCGACUUACAUGGAGUGCGUUGCAAUCUACUAGUACACCUCGAAGUUCUUCUAGGUUGCUUUCAAAUGACGCAAAAGCUAGUGAAGAAAAAGAAUCUCCUAGCACCGAACAAUAUAAAGACAGAAUUGACACUUUGAUAUUGGUUUCAACCCUUAUAAUAACAGCAUCCUUUGCUACUGGGUUUGCUAUGCCGGGUGACGUGGAUCAAGGAACAGCUGUUAUGCUGAAUCAUGUCAUGUUCCAUUUGUUCAUUCUCUCCCUCACCAUCUCUGUAUUUGGGGCUAUUAUUACAACUAUAAUUCUCAUGUGAGCUCGUUUAGAUGAUCUCCAUUUGAUGCUUUUUGCUCUGAACUGUGCAAUGCCAGUCCUAGGUAUUUCUUUGACAACACUAUCUUUGGCAUUUUUGGCAGGUGUAUACCUUAUAGUGAGCAAACUUAGCUGGUUGGCUACUA